UUGGGGUAAUCUUGAAAAGCUUCCCGAAAAAUGGAGAGUAUUGCAAGCAGAACGCGCUCCAAAGACCAUAAAGUCGAAGAGUUUAAACCUGCUUCCGGUGGUUCGAGGACUCGAAUUGCCAUUACCUCGUUGUUGAUCUUCCUGGUUUCAAGAAAGAAGACAUCAAGAUUCAGACCGAUAGCAUCGAUCACGUAACGGUCAGCGGAGAAAGACUAGUGAAAGACAAAAGGUCAAUUUGCUUCGAAGAAACCUUCAAAGUUCCGGAGAACUCGGCAAUCCAGAUGACGAGUGGAAGAAUUGAAGAAGGAAUUCUCACCGUGACGGUGCCGAAGCGAGCUCCAACUGUGACGGAGGAGGAGGAGGAGGAGGAGGAGGAGGAGGAGACCGAACACCAUGAACAAGACUUGAACAAAGAAAGCCACGACGAAGCCGCCAAGCCACCCGAGAGCGAAGUGACAGGGAGAAAAUCCAGCGGAGAAUGUUGCCCCAGUGACGAGAUCAUCAAGAAAUGGGGAGAAGAAAGAAGCAUCUUCAGGAGCGCAAUGAAGAUGCUUAACGAGAAGAAGGGGAUCGUCAUUACAGCUGUUUUAGCAUUCUCUCUCGGGGUCUGGGUAUCACGUAAAUUCAAUUUGGGUGGCCAUGAGAAUGCACUUGAAUGAUUUGUUCUCCAGACGUUAUAUGUCUCGGAUGCAAUCACAAUAAGAGCAUCCUCAAGAACAUGAAAUAAUGACUUUCAUUAAGUUGC
This is an RNA transcript of Eucalyptus grandis, 745 nucleotides long. RefSeq lists it as uncharacterized. The record is from RefSeq and is a predicted model, not a curated record. The transcript is spliced from 2 exons. NCBI's taxonomy places the organism in Eukaryota, Viridiplantae, Streptophyta, Magnoliopsida, Myrtales, Myrtaceae.